This 498-nucleotide ribosomal RNA is filed under the name uncultured bacterium. Its description in RNAcentral is "partial 16S ribosomal RNA". It matches the Rfam family "Bacterial small subunit ribosomal RNA", at positions 28 to 507 of the family's 1533-position model. The record is from RNAcentral.
GACGAACGCUGGCGGCGUGCCUAAUACAUGCAAGUCGAACGAGAGCGACCGGUGCUUGCACUGGUCAAUCUAGUGGCGAACGGGUGAGUAACACGUGGGUAACCUGCCCAUCAGAGGGGGAUAACAUCCGGAAACGGAUGCUAACACCGCAUAGGUCUUCGAACCGCAUGGUUUGAAGAGGAAAAGAGGCGCAAGCUUCUGCUGAUGGAUGGACCCGCGGUGCAUUAGCUAGUUGGUGAGGUAACGGCUCACCAAGGCCGUGAUGCAUAGCCGACCUGAGAGGGUGAUCGGCCACAUUGGGACUGAGACACGGCCAAAACUCCUACGGGAGGCAGCAGUAGGGAAUCUUCCGCAAUGGACGCAAGUCUGACGGAGCAACGCCGCGUGAGUGAAGAAGGUUUUCGGAUCGUAAAACUCUGUUGUUAGAGAAGAACAAGUGCUAGAGUAACUGUUAGCGCCUUGACGGUAUCUAACCAGAAAGCCACGGCUAACUACGUG